UUAGAGUUUGAUCCUGGCUCAGGAUUAACGCUAGCGGCAGGCAUAAUACAUGCAAGUUGAACGAGAUUAGUUUUAGCAAUAGAACUUUUUUAGUGGCGCACGGGUGCGUAACGCGUAUGCAACCUACCUUAAACAGGGGAAUAGCCUCUCGAAAGAGAGAUUAAUACCGCAUAAUAUAUAUUUAGAGCAUUCUAGAUAUAUUAAACCUACGGGGGUUUAAGAUGGGCAUGCGUGACAUUAGCUAGUUGGUGAGGUAAUGGCUCACCAAGGCAACGAUGUCUAGGGGGUCUGAGAGGAUGUCCCCCCACACUGGUACUGAGACACGGACCAGACUCCUACGGGAGGCAGCAGUAGGGAAUAUUGGUCAAUGGAGGCAACUCUGAACCAGCCAUGCCGCGUGCAGGACUAAGGCCCUAUGGGUCGUAAACUGCUUUUGAACGGGAAGAAAUGUAUCUACGUGUAGAUAUUUGACGGUACCGUUAGAAUAAGGAUCGGCUAACUUCGUGCCAGCAGCCGCGGUAAUACGAAGGAUCCAAGCGUUGUCCGGAUUUACUGGGUUUAAAGGGUGCGUAGGCGGACUUAUAAGUCAGUGGUGAAAGCCUUCAGCUUAACUGAAGAACUGCCAUUGAAACUGUAAGUCUCGAGUUCGGUUGAGGUCAUUGGAAUGUAACAUGUAGCGGUGAAAUGCAUAGAUAUGUUACAGAACACCAAUUGCGAAGGCAGAUGACUAAACCGAAACUGACGCUGAGGCACGAAAGCGUGGGGAUCAAACAGGAUUAGAUACCCUGGUAGUCCACGCCCUAAACGUUGAAUACUCGACCUUAGCGAUAUACAGUUAGGGUCCAAGCGAAAGCGUUAAGUAUUCCACCUGGGAAGUACGUUCGCAAGAUGAAACUCAAAGGAAUUGACGGGGGCCCGCACA
This 922-nucleotide ribosomal RNA is filed under the name uncultured bacterium. RNAcentral describes it as "bacterial SSU rRNA". It matches the Rfam family "Bacterial small subunit ribosomal RNA", at positions 1 to 927 of the family's 1533-position model. The record is from RNAcentral.